This 433-nucleotide ribosomal RNA is filed under the name uncultured bacterium. Its description in RNAcentral is "partial 16S ribosomal RNA". It matches the Rfam family "Bacterial small subunit ribosomal RNA", at positions 29 to 507 of the family's 1533-position model. The record is from RNAcentral.
AACGAACGCUGGCGGCAUGCCUAACACAUGCAAGUCGAACGAGACCUUCGGGUCUAGUGGCGCACGGGUGCGUAACCCGUGGGAACCUGCCCUUAGGUUCGGAAUAACUCCCCGAAAGGGGUGCUAAUACCGGAUAAUGUCUUCGGCCCAAAGAUUUAUCGCCUUUGGAUGGGCCCGCGUUGGAUUAGCUAGUUGGUAGGGUAAAAGCCUACCAAGGCGACGAUCCAUAGCUGGUCUGAGAGGAUGAUCAGCCACACUGGGACUGAGACACGGCCCAGACUCCUACGGGAGGCAGCAGUGGGGAAUAUUGGACAAUGGGCGAAAGCCUGAUCCAGCAAUGCCGCGUGAGUGAUGAAGGCCGUAGGGUUGUAAAGCUCUUUUACCCGGGAUGAUAAUGACAGUACCGGGAGAAUAAGCUCCGGCUAACUCCGUG